UUAAAUUGAAGAGUUUGAUCAUGGCUCAGAUUGAACGCUGGCGGCAGGCCUAACACAUGCAAGUCGAACGGUAACAGGAAGAAGCUUGCUUCUUUGCUGACGAGUGGCGGACGGGUGAGUAAUGUCUGGGAAACUGCCUGAUGGAGGGGGAUAACUACUGGAAACGGUAGCUAAUACCGCAUAACGUCGCAAGACCAAAGAGGGGGACCUUCGGGCCUCUUGCCAUCGGAUGUGCCCAGAUGGGAUUAGCUAGUAGGUGGGGUAACGGCUCACCUAGGCGACGAUCCCUAGCUGGUCUGAGAGGAUG
RNAcentral lists this ribosomal RNA (307 nucleotides) under Escherichia coli. RNAcentral describes it as "partial 16S ribosomal RNA". It matches the Rfam family "Bacterial small subunit ribosomal RNA", at positions 1 to 302 of the family's 1533-position model. The record is from RNAcentral. Lineage: Bacteria; Pseudomonadati; Pseudomonadota; Gammaproteobacteria; Enterobacterales; Enterobacteriaceae.